This 106-nucleotide transfer RNA is filed under the name Phycisphaerales bacterium. Its description in RNAcentral is "tRNA-Thr". The record is from RNAcentral. Lineage: Bacteria; Pseudomonadati; Planctomycetota; Phycisphaerae; Phycisphaerales.
GCCUACUGCUGCGCGAUCUGCAAAAACCUCGGUUUUCACGGGGUUUUUGCAUGCCAGCAGCGCUUUUGUAAAGCGCAGGUUGCCGGUUCGAUUCCGGCAGGUGGCU